RNAcentral lists this ribosomal RNA (2053 nucleotides) under Clostridium perfringens. RNAcentral's name for it is "partial 23S ribosomal RNA". It matches the Rfam family "Bacterial large subunit ribosomal RNA", at positions 398 to 2344 of the family's 2925-position model. Lineage: Bacteria; Bacillati; Bacillota; Clostridia; Eubacteriales; Clostridiaceae. The record is from RNAcentral.
AAACGAGAGGGAAAGUAUCACCGGGCACGAGUAACCCGGUGUGAAGAUAGGGGGCCCAUCCCCUAAGGCUAAAUACUAACAUGUGACCGAUAGUGAACAAGUACCGUGAGGGAAAGGUGAAAAGAACCCCGAAAGGGGAGUGAAAUAGAACCUGAAACCUAGUGCCUACAAGCAGACAGAGCGUGAGCGAACGUGAUGUCGUACCUUUUGUAGAAUGGGCCAGCGAGUUAUUCUAAAUUGCAAGGUUAAUGAUUUAAGAUCAGAAGCCGUAGCGAAAGCGAGUCUUAAUAGGGCGAAAGUAAGUUAGAAUAGACCCGAAACCGGGUGAUCUAUCCAUGGUCAGAGUGAAGUUGAAGUAAAAUUCAAUGGAGGCUCGAACCGGGUGCGGUUUAAAACGCAUCGGAUGAACUGUGGAUAGGGGCGAAAAACCAAACGAACCCGGAGAUAGCUGGUUCUCCUCGAAAUAGCUUUAGGGCUAGCCUCUGACCUAAGAUUUUAGGAGGUAGAGCACUGAAUGGUCUAGGGCGGAUUACCGUACCAAAACCUAUCAAACUCCGAAUGCCAAAAAAUCAAGUCAGGGAGUCAGACUUAGGGGGAUAAGCUUCUAAGUCGAAAGGGAAACAGCCCAGACCGACAGCUAAGGUCCCAAAAUUUGAAUUAAGUGGAAAAGGAUGUGAAUCUACUAAGACAACCAGGACGUUGGCUUAGAAGCAGCCAUGCAUUUAAAGAAUGCGUAAUAGCUCACUGGUCAAGUGGGUUUGCGCCGAAAAUGAACGGGGCUCAAAUUCAAUACCGAAGCUUCGGAUUAAUAGAGGGAUUAAGUUUACAAAUGAGACUAGGAAAUAUUUAACAAAAACAGAAGAGAUUAAAAAGAAAAACAAAUUUCAGACGCAGACAUAAAAGAUAGGAUAUUAAAAAGAAAUAUUCAAAAAACACAAGUCUAAAGUCAAAAGUGAGUAACAUAAGAAAUUAUGAACUAACAAUCACUGGUUAGAGUUAAAAACUAGGACUCAUAGCUAAACUUAAUACCUCUAUUAGUGGUAGAGGAGCAUUGUAUUAGAGACGAAGCCAAGGCGAAAGCAAAAGUGGAUCUAAUACAAGAGAGAAUGCUGGCAUGAGUAGCGAGAAGGGAUGUGAGAAUCAUCCCCGUCGAAACCCUAAGGACUCCUGAGCAAGGCUCGUCCCCUCAGGGAAAGUCGGGACCUAAGCCAAGGCCGAAAGGCGUAGGCGAUGGAUAACAGGUUUAUAUUCCUGUACCGCUUGAAGUCGUUAAGAGAGAAGUGAUGACGCAAAAGGAUAAGCAAAGCCAUCAGAUGGAAAAGAUGGUCUAAAGCCGUAGGAAGAAAAGUAGGCAAAUCCGCUUUUCACAAAUUCUAAAAGCCGAUAGGUAUCGAAAACAUAAGUAGAGAAGUUGCCGAUUCCAGGUUGCCAAGAAAAGUCACUAUCCAGACCAAAGCGCCCGUACCAAAACCGACACAGGUAGGCCACAGAAACCAGGCCCAAGCGACUGUUUACCAAAAACACAAGUUUCUGCAAAAUCGCAAGAUGAAGUAUAGGAGCUGACACCUGCCCGGUGCUGGAAGGUUAAGGGGAAGGCUUAGAGCAAUCGAAGGCUAGAACUUAAGCCCCAGUAAACGGCGGCCGUAACUAUAACGGUCCUAAGGUAGCGAAAUUCCUUGUCGGGUAAGUUCCGACCCGCACGAAAGGUGUAACGAUUUGGGCACUGUCUCAACAAAGGAUCCGGUGAAAUUGUAGUAGUCGUGAAGAUGCGACUUACCCACGCUAGGACGGAAAGACCCCGUGGAGCUUUACUGUAGGCUGAUAUUGGAUUUUGAGAUUAAAUGUACAGGAUAGUUGGGAGACUGAGAUAUCUGGAUGCCAAUCUAGGAGGAGUCACUGGUGGGAUACCAACCUUUUAAUAUCAAAGUUCUAACCAUAGCCCUUGAAUCAGGGCAUGGGACAUUGUCAGUUGGGCAGUUUGACUGGGGCGGUCGCCUCCUAAAAAGUAACGGAGGCGUUCAAAGGUUCGCUCAGAAUGGACGGAAACCAUUCG